CAUGCCCGGCAGAGGAGGGCCCAACAAGUGAGCUGUUAUUUCUAAAGGGUAAAUAUUUAUAUAAUUUUUUAUAACAGAGGGAAAGUUCAGGAAAAUCCCUGACUGGUCCUAGCUGGCUUGGGAGGUGGGGCCGGCAGGGUGGGGGUGUCUGUGUGUGUGGCGGGAGCUCGCUGGAGCAACAGGAACCCAGGUCUAGCACCCCGGCCCCAGGAGCAGCUGGUGCCUUCCCCAGGACCUGAGGGGAAAACAGCCAUCAAAGUGCUCUGUCACCGCCACAGUACUCAUGUGUGCAGGGCCCUGGUUUAGGAAGCAGCCUACACAUCUGAACUCCUCUUCCAGAUGCAGCAACAGAAGCACAGAGAGGCUGAGCAUCGAAGUGCCUUCUUCCCUGCCACAUCAUUUUAAUUCCAAGAGGAACUGUGCAAGGAACCUAAGAGCAUCCCCAUUUUGCAGACCGCACCAUUAAGGCCUGGAGGCCAAAGGCAUUUCUUGGUGAGCAGCAACAUUCAGACUUCCAGUCAGCUCAUCAGGCUCCAAGUCUGCCACUCAGGGCAAGGACCCUGGGCACAAGUAUGGACGGUGGGCACCAGAGAUUCCCAAGGGAGACUUUUGGAACCUAUAGGGAGUCCCUGAAAGCUUGCUCUGCCUCCACACACCAUUUGUAGAGCAUGUGCCCUGCUGUCUCUGGGCCUGUGCCUUUGCUUCCGCUCACCCUGAGCCUGUCUAGCCACAGGUAUGGGCAGGACCAUCUCACAGACAGGGACAAUGGGGAGCCACAGAGGGCAAGGAAGGGAGUGAGUGGCACUAUUGCACACACGUGCUUUACGUUCCCUGGGCUGCAGGGAUGGACGACGAGUGCUGAAGGUGGGGACGGGAGGCCAGGGAGCUAGGACAGUUUCCCUGAGAGCAACAAGGGAAGCCAGAAGCACGGCGUGGAGGUGGGGAGUAGCUGGAAAGGACGGGUGAGAUUCUAGAAAUGUCAGGAACAGGGCACCUCGGGACUCAACAGCCGAUUCCAAAUACUGCAGGGGGAGAAGAAGGGACAAGCCGCAGGGCUCGCCCAGAGCCCAUUCUCCCAGCCACCCCGCCAAUACCGGCCCCUCCUCGGCUUCGCUGCUCCUGUCACACUUGGGUCCCCAAAACCUCUCCUGUACAUACCGCCAGCCCGAGUGUGGUUCAUGACAGCCGCUGUGUCGGAACCCGUCAGACCUGAGGUGGCAGACCGCGUGUCUGAGUCC
Long non-coding RNA from Mustela lutreola (European mink), 1238 nucleotides. RefSeq lists it as uncharacterized. The record is from RefSeq and is a predicted model, not a curated record. The transcript is spliced from 3 exons. Lineage: Eukaryota; Metazoa; Chordata; Mammalia; Carnivora; Mustelidae.